This 688-nucleotide long non-coding RNA is filed under the name Gallus gallus (chicken). RNAcentral's name for it is "lncRNA (ENSGALG00010000291.1)". The record is from RNAcentral. Lineage: Eukaryota; Metazoa; Chordata; Aves; Galliformes; Phasianidae.
GGGCCUGGUGGGGUCUUAUGGGGUUCUGGUGGGGUCUGGUGGGAUCUUAUGGGAUCAUAUGGGAUCUUGUGGGGCCUGGUGGGGUCUGAUGGGAUCUUAUGGGGUUCUGGUGGGGUCUUAUGGGGUUCUAUGGGGUUCUGGUGGGGUCUGGUGGGGUCUUAUGGGAUCUUGUGGGGCCUGGUGGGGUCUGAUGGGGUUCUGGUGGGGCCUGGUGGGGUCUUAUGGGGUCUGAUGGGAUCUUAUGGGGUUCUGGUGGGGUCUGAUGGGGUUCUGGUGGGGUCUGGUGGGAUCUUAUGGGGUUCUGGUGGGGUCUUAUGGGGUUCUGGUGGGGUCUUAUGGGAUCUUAUGGGAUCUGGUGGGGUUCUAGUGGGGUCUUAUGGAGUUCUGGUGGGGUCUGAUGGGGUUUUAUGGGAUUGACCCCAUAGAACGACACUGAGUUCCCAUUGCCAUAAGUCGACCCCAAAGACUCUUUUUUGGGUCCCAUUGCCACGAAUCGACCCCAAAGUCCCCUUUUGGGGUCCCAUUGCCUUAAGUUGACCCCAAAGUCCCCUUUUGGGGUCCCAUGACCACGAAUCGACCCCAAAGUCCCCUUUUGGGGUCCCAUUGCCAUGAAUCGACCCCAAAGUCCCCUUUUGGGGUCCCAUGACCACGAACUGACCCCAAAGUCCCCUUUUGGGGUCCCACGGCC